This 450-nucleotide ribosomal RNA is filed under the name uncultured bacterium. RNAcentral describes it as "partial 16S ribosomal RNA". It matches the Rfam family "Bacterial small subunit ribosomal RNA", at positions 354 to 796 of the family's 1533-position model. The record is from RNAcentral.
GUGGGGAAUCUUCCGCAAUGGACGAAAGUCUGACGGAGCAACGCCGCGUGAGUGAAGAAGGUUUUCGGAUCGUAAAGCUCUUUCGUUAGGGACGAACGUGCUCUUUGUGAAUAAUGAGGAGUAAUGACGGUACCUAAAUAAGAAGCCACGGCUAACUACGUGCCAGCAGCCGCGGUAAUACGUAGGUGGCAAGCGUUGUCCGGAAUUAUUUGGCGUAAAGCGCGCGCAGGCGGGAUAUCAAGUCUGUCUUAAAAGUGCGAGGCUCAACCUCGUGAGGGGACAGAAACUGGUAUUCUUGAGUGUCGGAGAGGAAAGGGGAAUUCCAAGUGUAGCGGUGAAAUGCGUAGAGAUUUGGAAGAACACCAGUGGCGAAGGCGACUUUCUGGACGAUGUCUGACGCUGAGGCGCGAAAGCUAGGGGAGCGAACGGGAUUAGAAACCCUAGUAGUCC